Molecule: ribosomal RNA, 253 nt
Filed under: uncultured bacterium
Lineage: Bacteria
Description: partial 16S ribosomal RNA
Rfam family: Bacterial small subunit ribosomal RNA
Source: RNAcentral
UACGUAUGGUGCAAGCGUUAUCCGGAAUGACUGGGUGUAAAGGGAGCGUAGACGGUUGUACAAGUCUGAUGUGAAAGCCCACGGCUCAACUGUGGGAGUGCAUUGGAAACUGUAGAACUAGAGUAUCGGAGAGGCAAGUGGAAUUCCUAGUGUAGCGGUGAAAUGCGUAGAUAUUAGGAGGAACACCAGUGGCGGAGGCGGCUUGCUGGACGAAAACUGACGUUGAGGCUCGAAAGCGUGGGGAGCAAACAGG